Long non-coding RNA from Sebastes umbrosus (honeycomb rockfish), 1391 nucleotides. RefSeq lists it as uncharacterized. NCBI's taxonomy places the organism in Eukaryota, Metazoa, Chordata, Actinopteri, Perciformes, Sebastidae. The record is from RefSeq and is a predicted model, not a curated record. The transcript has 3 exons.
GUUACAAUUAACUUUCAUGAAUAGAAAACACACCGUCCCCUCCAAUGAAUCGCCACCUUAACGUGGUGGAGGGGUUUGUGUGCCCUAGUGAUCCUGGGAGCUGUGUUGUCGGGGGCGUUAGCUCCUGGUAGGGUCUUCCAAGGCAAAGUGGUCCCAGGGGAGGGGCCAGACCAAGAGCGAUUCAAAGACCUUUAUGAACUGGAGCCAACGGACUUGUGGAACCUUGCCCAGAAUAGGGAGACCGGAGCCCCCCUCCUGGAGCCGGACCUGGAAGGGGAGCUCGCUGGCGAACAUCUGGUGGCCCUGGCUUGGCCCAUUGGGCUUGGCCAGGCACGGCCCGAAGAAACUUCAUGGAGCCUCCACCCUGUGGGCCCACCCCCUGCAGGGAUAGGCAUAGGGGUCAAGUGCAAUGUGAGCCGUGCGGCAGGCAAAGGCGGGGAUCUAGGCGUUCUGAUCCCCGGUGGAACGUUACCUCUCUGGUGGGGAUUGAACUGGAGCUGGUGCGGGAGGUGGAGCGGUAUCAACUAGAUAUAGUUGGGCUCACCUCCACGUAUAGCUCUAGUUCUGGAACCACACUCCUGGAGAGGGGCUGGACUCUCUCCUUUUCCGGAGUUGCCCAGGGUGAGAGGCGCCGCAGUGUUGGAGUUCUCCCCGGAGAACGAGAGGGUUGCCUCGAUGCGACUGCAAGUCGCUGGGAGGGAAUCUCUGACUGUUGUUUGUGCGUGUGCAUGUCUGUAUGCACCGCUGCUCUUUCGCGUCUAAAGGGGCCAGCUGACAUUGUGAAUAAAGGGAGUGAAAGUGUUCUUUCACAAUCAUUGUGUGACAUUCUUAGUUAUCAGGGCUGAUCCUGUCCUCACGGAGCCUCUAACCCUUUGAGGACCGGUCCGUACCAAGAUGAAGCCUGAGAGUGUGUAAGCCUGAGUGACAGAGACCCUCACGGGGGACAGAGCUGGUGUUGGAAGUGAAUCCUGAGCCGGAAACAAACUUCACCCUCCUUCAGACUGACGGACAAGCGUGGCGUCAGACCCCCAGAGACCCUCACGUCUCUGUCUGCUCAUAAUAUUUCCAGCACUGCCACCAUCCAGCUCCAGUCUGUGAUGUAACUGGAUGGCUCGAGGGGGCAGCAACCUGACACAACGAGGCCAGACGAAGCCCUCAGAGGAUGGACCGAGGGAGGGGAAAAAAAGCUCCCAGGGAACGUCACAACGCGUGACUAAAGAAACUGUGAAAGCUAAGGUCAGUGGAUGAAGUCUUUCCUCGAGUAAAAUCACACUAUGCACAUACUUCUUUUAGACUGAAUUAUCUUCUCAUUUCAAACAAUUUAAAGAUCCUGAAAUAGGAUAAGUAGAUGCAAUUAGGCGAGUAAAAAUGAGGGGGGGUAAAACACAAGA